AGGAUGUGUACGUUGAUCUAGCAAUU
RNAcentral lists this non-coding RNA (26 nucleotides) under Homo sapiens (human). Lineage: Eukaryota; Metazoa; Chordata; Mammalia; Primates; Hominidae. The record is from RNAcentral.